RNAcentral lists this ribosomal RNA (253 nucleotides) under uncultured bacterium. Its description in RNAcentral is "partial 16S ribosomal RNA". It matches the Rfam family "Bacterial small subunit ribosomal RNA", at positions 524 to 776 of the family's 1533-position model. The record is from RNAcentral.
UACGGAGGGGGCUAGCGUUGUUCGGAAUUACUGGGCGUAAAGCGUACGUAGGCGGCUUUGUAAGUUAGAGGUGAAAGCCCGGGGCUCAACUCCGGAAUUGCCUUUAAGACUGCAUCGCUUGAAUCAUGGAGAGGUGAGUGGAAUUCCGAGUGUAGAGGUGAAAUUCGUAGAUAUUCGGAAGAACACCAGUGGCGAAGGCGACUCACUGGACAUGUAUUGACGCUGAGGUACGAAAGCGUGGGGAGCAAACAGG